Non-coding RNA from Pelobates cultripes (western spadefoot toad), 388 nucleotides. Lineage: Eukaryota; Metazoa; Chordata; Amphibia; Anura; Pelobatidae. The record is from the annotation of a GenBank genome assembly.
GAUUACUCCGAUUAGUCUGCGUACCAGAUGCGGCAGUUCCUCUGUCGGGACAUCGUCAGGGACACCCCUUAUUUUUACAUUGUUGCGGCGUCUGAGGUCUUCCAGGGCCGUGAAUCGUAGGUUAGUGGCCUCUUGUUGCUGUUUAAGGGCCUGUACCUCCGUCCGGAGCUCCAGUAUGGCCUGGGCCUGUUUGUCAGAUGAGGCCUCUAGUAUUCCAAUACGGUUCACCAUACCCGUCAGGUCUGUUCUUAGCUGGGCCAUGUCGGCCUGCAGCACUUUCUGCAGAUCCCCCAGCAUAGUUCGUAGUGUCUCCGUGGUUACCGGGUCGGGUAGCCCCUUUUUCGAGGUCGGCUGUGUUAACGGAGCAAACAUUCCGCCCGGGUAGUCC